GCCGGGAUAGCUCAGUCUGGUAGAGCAGAGGACUGAAAAUC
RNAcentral lists this transfer RNA (41 nucleotides) under Isatis tinctoria. RNAcentral's name for it is "partial tRNA-Phe". The record is from RNAcentral. Lineage: Eukaryota; Viridiplantae; Streptophyta; Magnoliopsida; Brassicales; Brassicaceae.